AUCAGAUUAGAGCUUGAUUAAUAAAGCGUUUCAUUUACACUGAGAAGAUAACUGUGCAAUUCAUGUUUAAUUUGAU
RNAcentral lists this transfer RNA (76 nucleotides) under Leptogomphus sauteri. RNAcentral's name for it is "tRNA-Val". Lineage: Eukaryota; Metazoa; Arthropoda; Insecta; Odonata; Aeshnidae. The record is from RNAcentral.